GAUGAACGCUGGCGGCGUGCCUAAUACAUGCAAGUCGAGCGAACGGACGAGAAGCUUGCUUCUCUGAUGUUAGCGGCGGACGGGUGAGUAACACGUGGAUAACCUACCUAUCAGACUGGUAUAACUUCGGGAAACCGGAGCUAAUACCGGAUAAUAUCUUGCUCCGCAUGGUUCAAAAGUGAAAGACGGUCUUUCUGUCUCUUAUAGAUGUAUCCGCGCUGCAUUAGCUAGUUGGUAAGGUAACGGCUUACCAAGGCAACGAUGCAUAGCCGACCUGAGAGGGUGAUCGGCCACACGGGAACUGAGACACGGUCCAGAGGACUAAGGGAGGCAGCAGUAGGGAAUCUUCCGCAAUGGGCGAAAGCCUGACGGAGCAACGCCGAGUGAGUGAUGAAGGUCUUCGGAUCGUAAAACUCUGUUAUUAGGGAAAAACAGAUGUGUAAGUAACUGUGCACAGCGUGACGGUACCUAAUCAGAAAGCCACGGCUAACUACGUG
This 497-nucleotide ribosomal RNA is filed under the name uncultured bacterium. RNAcentral describes it as "partial 16S ribosomal RNA". It matches the Rfam family "Bacterial small subunit ribosomal RNA", at positions 28 to 507 of the family's 1533-position model. The record is from RNAcentral.